Oreochromis aureus is the source of this 1222-nucleotide long non-coding RNA. The record is from Ensembl. NCBI's taxonomy places the organism in Eukaryota, Metazoa, Chordata, Actinopteri, Cichliformes, Cichlidae.
CAACUAUGUCCACAAUCAUUAAGUGAAGCAUCCAUUUUUAAAAAAAGAGCACCAAAUCUCUGCCAAGGCAGCUCACUCUGUGCACACUACCCUGUUAAGGUGACUGUCGACGAGUCGGGGUCCACGACGAGCCAUCUUCAAGCUUUGCUGUGAUGAUGAAACAUGAGUACAAAAGAUCCAAAGAUGCAGUAGUUGUUGUCGCUUUCUAGUAAAAUCCGCUUUCUGUAGAAAUAUUCUCCAAACGUUAUCUAUCCACAAGCUGAGCUUGGAGCAGGUCAAGACAAGUCCAAGAGCAAGUGUAAAGGGACGACUGGAACCUUGUGCAGCAUUCAUAUACCUACAGCGGCCCGUGGUUACGGUUGCUAACAUGCGUGUGCACGUGAUAGAACUAUAUGAAUUGAGCCCAUCGCAAUGUAAUUUACAGUAAAGUUAUGGUCAUUUAUAGUUACUGCCUUUGUUACCCUUUAUGUGGGAUGUCUAAUAACCAUGUAGGUCUAUCCAGAAAUAAACACAGAUAUUAGAAAGCAGCAAGUCAGUACCUGAGAUGUUUGCUUGAGUGAAUAACAUUAGCAUAUGCUAAUAUUACGUCUUCACAUUUUUCUUUUCAAAGGUAACAAAAACUUAGCCUUCUCGCUACUUACCAUGCUGUAAUACAGCUAUAUGCUAGCAAUGACAUUUAACAAAUGUUUUUUAAAAUGCUAGCCGUGCUAAUUAGCCUUAGGAUUGCUUGAGGUCUUGUUUCCAGCUCUAGCUGUCGUAAGGGAACUUAGGCCCUUACGACAUAACAUAUAGCAAGAACCUAUAACGAUAAUUGACAUUUGACCCCUCUUUGCGAUUAUAGCAGCUGUGUGUUAUGUCAUGGCAUGUUUUUAAAAAUGCCACCUGAAAUUUAUGCAACCAGUGCAAGGAGGGGGGUUCUUGAUAGUUUUGUACUUUCAUCUGAUAAGGGCCCAUCGCGUAUGGGUGUAACGGAGAAUCAGCCAAUCAAAUCGCACCGUCUGAGCGCAGAUCCUCAGCCAUGCAGCCCGCCUCCUCUCCUUUCUCCUCCUCACCGUGGUCACUUGGAACCCUGUCCCAGCCUCCAUCUUCAUCACUACCAGCAUGUUGACUCUGGGGUGGGGCUUGUGCAAAAUCCUGCCACUGCUGAGAUUCCUUCUGCUAUGAUGGGUCAUUGGAGUCUAAGUGCCUAACAGUUACAUUUAUUUCUGUAUCUCAAUAAAUC